RNAcentral lists this ribosomal RNA (407 nucleotides) under uncultured bacterium. Its description in RNAcentral is "partial 16S ribosomal RNA". It matches the Rfam family "Bacterial small subunit ribosomal RNA", at positions 28 to 526 of the family's 1533-position model. The record is from RNAcentral.
GACGAACGCUGGCGGCGCGCUUAACACAUGCAAGUCGAGCGAAGCGGCGGACGGGUGAGUAACACGUGAGUAACCUGCCUUAGACAUUGGGAUAGCCUCGGGAAACCGGGACUAAUACCAAAUGUUCUAAGAUGGACUCGCGUCCCAUUAGCUAUUGGGUGAGGUAACGGCCCACCAAGGCGACGAUGGGUAGCCGGCCUGGGAGGGGGAACGGCCACAUUGGAACUGAGAAACGGUCCAAACUCUACGGUAGGCAGCAGUGGCGAAUAUUGCACAAUGGAGGGAACUCUGAUGCAGCGACGCCGCGUGAACGAAGAAGGCUUUCGAGUCGUAAAGUUCUUUUAUAUGGGAAGCGGUACCAUAAGAAAAAGCCCCGGCUAACUACGUGCCAGCAGCCGCGGUAAUAC